RNAcentral lists this ribosomal RNA (334 nucleotides) under uncultured Limnohabitans sp. Its description in RNAcentral is "bacterial SSU rRNA". It matches the Rfam family "Bacterial small subunit ribosomal RNA", at positions 1 to 337 of the family's 1533-position model. Lineage: Bacteria; Pseudomonadati; Pseudomonadota; Betaproteobacteria; Burkholderiales; Comamonadaceae. The record is from RNAcentral.
CGCUGAGUUUGAUCCUGGCUCAGAUUGAACGCUGGCGGAAUGCUUUACACAAUGCAAGUCGAACGGUAGAGGGGGCAACCCCUUGAGAGUGGCGAAACGGGUGAGUAAUAUAUCGGAACGUGCCCAGUCGUGGGGGAUAACGUAGCGAAAGUUACGCUAAUACCGCAUACGAUCUAAGGAUGAAAGCGGGGGACUCGCAAGAGCCUCGCGCGAUUGGAGCGGCCGAUAUCAGAUUAGGUAGUUGGUGGGGUAAAGGCUCAACCGAAAGCCAACGAUCUGUAGCUGGUCUGAGAGGACGACCAGCCACACGUGGAACUGAGACACGGUCCAGACU